AGCUUACCAAUGGAGCCCACCCUUCCCCGGAGCAAGGUCACAGAAUCCCCUGUCCUGUGGGAGGAGAGCUUGGUGAUUUCUCAAAGUCCUUGCAGCUCUGACCUUCUAAGCCUGCACUCCUCUAGGAAGCCAGGUGAGAGAGCAGAGGAACUACCCUUCCAUAAGCCCACCCCAGGAACCCCAGGGAGGGGCCAGGUGCCUGGCCUUCUGAGUGUCUGUACCUGAAGAUGAAACGGGGUUACUUAGGUACUUCUUGGCAGUUCUGAAGUUCAGGACUGAACCUAGCUGCCUCUCCUGGCUAUGUCCGUCCAUUACCAUCACCACCUUGUCACCCUCCGUCUGGGGUCUGAGGCCAAGCUGGACACCUCUCCUUCCCGCGUCGAAGCUCAGAGGUGAGCCUCAGCUGACCCUCCCUCCAGCAAAUGUUUAGAGAAUGAGGUAAGCAUCCUCCACCAGUGACCGUCAGGCUGUCCACUGUCCAACCCAGACGUCCUCUCUGAGAGUGCUGCCAUUAGUCUCCAAACCCUCUGUCCUUUGAGCCUGAAUCCCCAGGGGGCUGUUCAUACUCCUCUUCCCUCUGCCACCUGGCUGGCCCCCAUCUUUGCUAGCCACCUCCUUCUUGCUCUCAGUUCCCCUCCUCAGGGAGGCCCUCACUGACCACCGCCAAGUCGCUCCCCACUGCAGCCUCCUGCUUCAUUUUCCUGACUGUGAUGUUGGAAAUGCUCGUUUGUGUGUUUGUUUACUUGUCACCUCUCUGCCUCCCCCAACCCCCAAAUGCCAGCUCUGUGAGGGAGGGGGUCUCACGCUGGUGUCCUCACUGCUUUGAGCGGUGCUGGGCACACAGUCAAUAUUAGUUGGUCGAGUUACUGAUAGAACAACGCUCUUGAUCCGGCUCCAGGGCAGAAAGGGGAGCUCACAGAGGAGGGGAUAUCCAGCUAACCCAGUGGGAACCAGACACGCUGGCAAACCCCAUCCCACGGGCUAGGCUUUCAGUUAACCCUCUCAUUCAUGCAUGAGGGGGUGCUUAUUAAGCCAUUUUCCAGAUAAGGCAAUGGAGGCCCAGAGAAGUGAAGUGACUUGCACAAGGCCACAUGGCUUGUAUGCUGCAGAGCUGGGUCUUGGCCUGGCUUUCUGAGAUCGACAGCCCUUUUCCUCUCCAGGGUUCCAAGGCUGUGAUUCCGAGAGAUCACCACACAGGGAAGGAAUCCUGACAGCCUGUGAAGUGCCUGGCACUGGGUCAGGUUAUUUGCCAAGGUUUGUUCAUGUGCCUGCUCUGUCUUCAUAGGUCUAUUUUACAGAUGUCAAACUGAGGCCCAGAGAGGCCUGGUGACUCGCCCUAGGUCACACAGUGCGGUGACAGCCAAUCCAGGACCGGUGCCCGGACUGCCACACCUCUCCAUGUGGUGGCGGUGAAGCUAAAUGGCCUGCUGCCUUGAUUUCCCCUUUGUGCCAUGAGGGUGUGGGCAGGCUGAUUUCUGACAUGGUGUAAUGUCAUCAGGGAGGCGGGACCUUGCCUGAGAAGCCUUAGGGCUGAAAAGGGAAGCGCAGAGUGGCUGUUUCCCCAUCCUGCCCGCUCUCCGCCCUGGCCCUGAGCCAGGUGGGCGGCCAACUCCCUUUGACCACUUCCUGGGGUAACUCCCCCGGAAAUGCCCCAGAUGCCCGCAGCCCAAGUAUAACUCCAACUUCCAGGCUCAGGACCCUCAUCCCUCACCUCCUCCUGCCAAGAUCACCCCAAGCAGAAACCAGUAGGCAUAAUAAUUAGGAUCAUAACAAACUCUACCUCACGGGGCUGACCCGAAGGGAUGAUGCAUAGCAGAACACAUGGCUCAGCUGGCCAGCCGGCAGGUCUUAGCAGGUCAUAGUGGCGGAAUGACCAGCCCACAAGUCUUAGCAGGUCGCAAUGGUGGAUGCAGGAUGUUUCUGCCUGACCAGCCUCCAUUCUCACUUCCGGUAAGACACCCCAAUUUUCUUUGGGGAAUCCAAUCCUCCAUUCUCAGUCCAUCUAAUUUGGGUCAGCUACCUCCAGGGGUGAAUGCAGUACCGAGCUUGGUCUAUCAGAGAGAGUAGUUCAUCCCCCCUGCUCAAGUGACUGGUCCAGGGAUGGGUAUGUGGUCUAAGCUAACCAUGGAGAGUCGAUUCUGUCAGAACAGUUUCUGCCUGGAUAUGACAAAUGUCGACCUGGAGCUGUUGGGGCCAUCUGGGCAGAAAGGCUGUCCGGGAAUGAAGUCAAAGAGAUGGAAAAAGAGAAAAAGAGGCCGGCGUCUGGGGUCAUGGUUUGAGCCCCCGAAUCCAACUGUACCUGAAGCCCUGUCUGUUUCAGAAACAGAAGGCAAUAAAUUCAGCCUUUGCCUUAAGCCCGUCAA
RNAcentral lists this long non-coding RNA (2363 nucleotides) under Homo sapiens (human). RNAcentral describes it as "HSALNT0310428". The record is from RNAcentral. Lineage: Eukaryota; Metazoa; Chordata; Mammalia; Primates; Hominidae.